RNAcentral lists this ribosomal RNA (253 nucleotides) under uncultured bacterium. RNAcentral describes it as "partial 16S ribosomal RNA". It matches the Rfam family "Bacterial small subunit ribosomal RNA", at positions 524 to 776 of the family's 1533-position model. The record is from RNAcentral.
UACAGAGGUCUCAAGCGUUGUUCGGAUUCAUUGGGCGUAAAGGGUGCGUAGGUGGCGGGGUAAGUCAGGUGUGAAAUCUCGGGGCUCAACCCCGAAACUGCACUUGAUACUGCCUUGCUCGAGUACUGGAGAGGAGAUUGGAAUUUACGGUGUAGCAGUGAAAUGCGUAGAUAUUACCAGGAACACCAAUGGCGAAGGCAGCUUGCUGGGCUACUCCUGACACUGAGGUACGAAAGCGUGGGGAGCGAACAGG